AGAUAGAGGUGCGAUUUCCAGGAGUACGGCAGCCGAGUCUCUCAACAGACUGCGACGCUGCCGGAAAGGGGCCGUCGCCGAAGUGUGCCGGAUGGUUGAGUACCGGCAUGCUGGCCACGUGGGAAAAUAUCUCACGGGCUGUCACGGCAAGCACUUGCCGUGGAGCGCUAGCU
This 173-nucleotide non-coding RNA is filed under the name human gut metagenome. Its description in RNAcentral is "Lysine riboswitch". It matches the Rfam family "Lysine riboswitch aptamer". Rfam says of the family: Riboswitches are metabolite binding domains within certain messenger RNAs that serve as precision sensors for their corresponding targets. Allosteric rearrangement of mRNA structure is mediated by ligand binding, and this results in modulation of gene expression. This family includes riboswitches that sense lysine in a number of genes involved in lysine metabolism, including lysC. The record is from RNAcentral. RNAcentral also lists the same sequence under 1 other name.